CUCUAGAUAGUUUCGCUGCGGUGCCGCUUGGCGACAGAAGAAUUCGGCAAAAACGUGUAAAAUAACAAAAAAAAAUUGUUAGAAAAUUUAUAGAAAUAAACAAAAUAUUACUUAAUUUAUAAUAAAUAAACUAAAUUAAAUAAAUUAGUAGUGAAUUUCUAAUAGAAGACAUUAAAAAUGGUGGACGCCGCACGACAAAUGUUAGAUGAAUUGAUGGGUAGAAACAGAAAUUUACAUCCAUCGGAAGCUCCCAAAUCGGUAAACUGGGAAGAUCCUGAUUUGUGUCAAUAUCAUUUAGUGAAAUUUUGUCCGCAUGAAUUAUUCGUUAAUACUCGAGCAGAUUUAGGACCUUGUGGUCGUAUACACGACGAUGAAGCCAAACAAAAGUAUGCAGAAGCCAGACCGACAUCGCGCAAAAGGCAAUAUGAAGAUGAAUUUUUAUAUUUUUGUAAUUCUAUGUUAAAUGAUGUUGAUCGUAAAAUACAGAAGGGCAGACAACGUUUGGCCUUAAUGCAAAGGGACCAGCCAGCCCAGUCGCAUGUCUCCAAGUACCGUGAACAGUUGAACAAUUUAAAUGCCCGUAUCAAAAAGUUGGUAGCAGAGGCCGAAGAAGCUGGUACACGCGGUGAUGUGGAUCAGGCCCAAGAUCUAAUGGUACUCUGUGAACAAUUGAAAGAGGAAAGAGAUACUAUGGUGACACAAUAUGAAAAUAAUAUGUCAAAUAAUAAAGAUGAAAAGCCUUCUUCGAUUGAAACAACAACAAAGCCGGUCAGCAUUGUUGAAGGUUCUCCAUCGUCACAGAACAAUACAGAGGAAGGUGGUAAAUCACCGCGCAGUGAUGAUGACACAGCGUCCAGUCUGGCUGGGGACAAGAAAUUGAAUGCUUGGAUGCAAGAUAUGGGUCAUAUGCCGGAAAAACAAAUGGAGGUAUGCGAAGUUUGUGGUGCUUUUCUCAUUGUAGGAGAUGCCCAACAGCGUAUUGAGGACCAUUUGAUGGGUAAACAACAUUUAGGUUAUUCUAAGUUACGCAAAGCCGUCGAGGAAAUUCACGAGCAACGUCAAAAGGAACGUGAAGUAGAUGAUCGAUCAAGAAGACGUGAUGAUCGCUCAUCAUCACAUCGCAGUUUUGAUAUGGAGCGAAGACGUGAUCGCGAACGUGAAUAUCGUGGACGUUCCCGUGAACAUGGUAGCAGUCACCACCAUGCCGGUGAAAGACACCGCCAUCAUCAUAAAUCUCAUCAUCGGCGCCGUUCUCAUUCACGUAGCCGCAGUCAUCGUAGCAGUCGUGAUCGUUAUAGUCGCAGCCGUAGCCGUAGUCGUUAUUAAAGCAUAGAGGAACACAUGCAGAUCCCCCCCUUUCCUAACGUCAUAUUAUGAACAUAUACAUAUAAAACCAACUAGAGGUACACUUCCCUUAACUUUAUUUAAAAAAAACCUAAAUGAUUUCAAAAAAAAAUCAUAAAAAAAAAACAAUUUUAACAAUACAAUUUAAAAAAAUUAAACCACAGAAAAAGUCAUAACGAUCUUACUACAUAAAACAAGUUGGAAAACAUCAAAAAGUGUAACAGGACACCAAGACUGCUAGCAAUCACCAACAAACAAACACUGCAGCUAAACGUUAAUGUGACACACAAAAAAAAAAUAAUAAAAGGCAGACAAACUCUACUCUCACAGGUAACUUUCUCUACAACAAACUGUAACAACCUGAAGAAAUUUUUCUCUCUUAAAUUAAUAUUAAUAAUAAAAAGAAUAGUGAAACAACGAAUUAUGUAAAAUCUACACAUAAUAUAGAAAAAAAGGAAUGUUAAUUUUUAUUCUGCAUUAAACUAAAAAUUAAUUUUAAAGGCAACAUAAAUCAGGAAUGGAUUAAAAUCACGCUAAACACAUAAACGAGGUGAUUUUUUUUAUUAUUUUUUUCAUAUUUUUUUUAAUUAUAUAUGUAUUUAUUAUUAUUAAUAAUAUUAUUUCAUCUAUUGGCAAUUAUAUACUGUUAUUGAGAUUAUAAAGAAAUAAUUUAUAUAAAAAAAACAAGAAUAUAAGCAG
Molecule: unclassified non-coding RNA, 2043 nt
Filed under: Lucilia cuprina (Australian sheep blowfly)
Lineage: Eukaryota; Metazoa; Arthropoda; Insecta; Diptera; Calliphoridae
Description: luc7-like protein 3, transcript variant X1
Source: RNAcentral